RNAcentral lists this unclassified non-coding RNA (253 nucleotides) under uncultured Halomonadaceae bacterium. RNAcentral describes it as "contains 16S-23S intergenic spacer region". It matches the Rfam family "Bacterial small subunit ribosomal RNA", at positions 524 to 776 of the family's 1533-position model. Lineage: Bacteria; Pseudomonadati; Pseudomonadota; Gammaproteobacteria; Oceanospirillales; Halomonadaceae. The record is from RNAcentral.
ACCGGAGGGUGCGAGCGUUAAUCGGAAUUACUGGGCGUAACGCCCGCGUAGGCGGCUUGAUAAGCCGGUUGUGAAAGCCCCGGGCUCAACCUGGGAAACGCAUCCGGAACUGUCAGGCUAGAGUGCAGGAGAGGAAGGUAGAAUUCCCGGUGUAGCGGUGAAAUGCGUAGAGAUCGGGAGGAAUACCAGUGGCGAAGGCGGCCUUCUGGACUGACACUGACGCUGAGGUGCGAAAGCGUGGGUAGCAAACAGG